CCUACGGGAGGCAGCAGUGAGGAAUAUUGGUCAAUGGACGAAAGUCUGAACCAGCCAAGCCGCGUGAAGGAUGACGGCCCUAUGGGUUGUAAACUUCUUUUAUAAAGGAAUAAAACGAGGCACGUGUGCCUGUUUGCGUGUACUUUAUGAAUAAGGAUCGGGUAACUCCGUGCCAGCAGCCGCGGUAAUACGGAGGAUCCGAGCGUUAUCCGGAUUUAUUGGGGUUAAAGGGAGCGUAGGUGGGGUGUUACGUAAGUUGGUAAAGUCUGGGGCUCAACCGGAAAGGUGCAAUUGAUACUGGCAGUCUUGAGUACAGGAGAGGUAGGCGGAAUUCGUGGUGUAGCGGUGAAAUGCUUAGAUAUUACGAAGAACACCGAUUGCGAAGGCAGCUUACUAAACUGUGACUGACGUUGAUGCUCGAAAGUGUGGGUAUCAAACAGGAUUAGAUACCCGGGUAGUC
Molecule: ribosomal RNA, 460 nt
Filed under: uncultured bacterium
Lineage: Bacteria
Description: partial 16S ribosomal RNA
Rfam family: Bacterial small subunit ribosomal RNA
Source: RNAcentral